RNAcentral lists this ribosomal RNA (520 nucleotides) under uncultured bacterium. RNAcentral describes it as "partial 16S ribosomal RNA". It matches the Rfam family "Bacterial small subunit ribosomal RNA", at positions 28 to 523 of the family's 1533-position model. The record is from RNAcentral.
GACGAACGCUGGCGGCGUGCUUAACACAUGCAAGUCGAACGGACUACUUUGCUUCGGUAAGGUGGUUAGUGGCGAACGGGUGAGUAACGCGUAGACAACCUACCUCUUAGAUGGGGACAACAUCGCGAAAGCGGUGCUAAUACCGAAUGAAGUGACUUUCCUGCAUGGGAGAGAUACUAAAGUGGGCCUCUAUUUAUAAGCUACCACUGAGAGAUGGUUCUGCGUCUGAUUAGCUAGUUGGCGGGGUAACGGCCCACCAAGGCGACGAUCAGUAGCCGGUCUGAGAGGAUGAACGGCCACAUUGGGACUGAGACACGGCCCAAACUCCUACGGGAGGCAGCAGUGGGGAAUCUUCCCCAAUGGACGAAAGUCUGACGGAGCAACGCCGCGUGAGUGAAGAAGGUUUUCGGAUCGUAAGGCUCUGUUGUUUGAGACGAAUGUGCCUGUUUCGAAUAGGGAUAGGUAAUGACGGUAUUAAACGAGAAAGCCACGGCUAACUACGUGCCAGCAGCCGCGGUAA